Clupea harengus (Atlantic herring) is the source of this 5764-nucleotide long non-coding RNA. Lineage: Eukaryota; Metazoa; Chordata; Actinopteri; Clupeiformes; Clupeidae. The record is from Ensembl.
GGGAGGGGAGGGAGGGAUAUGAUCACUACAGUACCUGAAAGCCCCUGAUCUGCUCCUCUCUGGACUCCCCUCAGGGUAAGACUCUUAGAGAUAUUUACCCUUGUCCUAAGCUUCUCAUAAGUCCCUUACUGUUGGACACACUGUUGUAUUCUUGUCUUACGACCUCAUAUCUGUUUCUGUGAACGUGUCUCUCAUCACACGCUGUAAGAAGCUAAUGGCUCCAACAUGAUGCUGAUGUGUUCUGCGUAGAAAUGAUCUCAACAAUAAAAAGGUAAAACAAAACAAAAACAACAACACAUUAGUCAUGGUAAAUAUAAGAAGACUGUGAACAUGCCACACAAAUCAACUCCAUUCACGUUCAAAGACUCAAAAGACUAGUCAUAACAGAACAGCAAUCAAGGCUGAGUUAGUUCACCCCACGAACAGCUCUUCUGUGAGUUCUGUUUGUCAUGAAGAGUUCUGUCUGUCAUGAAGAGUUCUAUCUGUAAUGAAGAGUUCUAUCUGUAAUGAAGAGUUCUGUCUGUCAUGAAGAGUUCUAUCUGUAAUGAAGAGUUCUGUCUGUAAUGAAGAAUUCUAUCUGUAAUGAAGAGUUCUAUCUGUAAUGAAGAGUUCUGUCUGUAAUGAAGAAUUCUAUCUGUAAUGAAGAGUUCUGUCUGGAAUGAAGAGUUCUGUCUGGAAUGAAGAGUUCUGUCUGUGAUGAAGAGUUCUGUCUGUAAUGAAGAAUUCUAUCUGUAAUGAAGAGUUCUAUCUGUAAUGAAGAGUUCUGUCUGUAAUAAAGAGUUCUAUCUGUCAUGAAGUUCUAUCUGUUAUGCAGUGAAUUCUAUCUGUAAUGUAGUAAGUGAGUUGCCAUGGCGAUGAGACGAUGAGCUUAGGACAGGGAAAGUUGUAGGGAUGCAGCACAGGCAUUUAGACUGGUCUCUCCACUGGCAUCUAAACUGGUCUCUGCACUGGCAUUUCUCUCUGCCUUCUGAAGACUGAACAGCAGUUCAGGAAAGCUGAUGCUCCAUCUGAGCUGUAUCUGAUGGCCUCUCUGUCUGUCUGACUGUCUGUCUGUCUGUCUGUCUCUCUGUCUGACUGUCUGUCUGUCUGACUGUCUGUCUGACUGUCUGUCUGACUGUCUGUCUCCUUCUUUGUUUUCUGUGAUAUGAGUGUUGAAGACACAUCGCACAGAGACCUGAGUGGAGUGACAGAAGAUAAUGAGAGCCCAGCAGAAAGAUGAGGAGAGGCAAGAGGAAGAAGGCAGAGACAGAGACAGAGACAGAGACAGACAGAGUCAGAGAGAGAGACAGCUCCAUGUGUAGAUAAUUCAUCAAGUUCAUCAGAGGAUUUACACAGAAAAGAAAGACUCACUUUCAUGUUGUGAGGAGUGGGAAUCAUGUGAGGAGAGACAAGAGUGAGACAGGAGUGAGGAGAGACAGGAGUGAGACAGGAGUAAGGAGAGACAGGAGUGUGACAGGAGUGAGGAGAGACAGGAGUGAGACAGGAGUGAGGAGAGACAGGAGUGAGACAGGAGUGAGGAGAGACAUGAGUGAGACAGGAGUGAAGGGAGUCAAGAGUGAGGAAAGACAGGAGUGAGGAGAGACAGGAGUGAGGAGCUCUUGAGGAGAGUGAGAGGAGAGUGAGAGUGAGAGUGUGGCAGGAGUGAAGCUUCAUGCUGCUGUCUGCUGUGGCUCAUUCAGUCUCUAUGUCACAUCUCUCUCUCUCUGCCUCUCUUUCUCUCUCUCUAUGCCAGCCUCUCUCUCUCUCUCAUAGGACAGUCUCUCUGUUUCUCUGACAGUCUCUCAAUUUAAUCUCUCUCCUUCUCUCUGACAGCCUCUCUCUCUCAAGCGGGCCUUGAAUCCAUCCAUGCUAUAACCUGUACACUGAAGCCAAACUCAGAGAAAAAAGACUGCCAGGAUAAUGUCAAUAGCCGAUACAUUUAUGGUGAAGAUAAAUGUGUUAUCUCAAUACCCCCCCUCGAUGGUUUCAUGUCAUGCACUGGAUUGAUGAGUACUUCCUCUCUGUGAUGUCAUGCGCUGGAUUGAUGAGUACCUCCUCUCUGUGAUGUCAUGCACUGGAUUGAUGAUGACUUCCUCUCUGUGAUGUCAUGCAUUGGAUUGAUGAUGACUUCCUCUCUGUGAUGUCAUGUACUGGAUUGAUGAUGACUUUCUCUCUGUGAUGUCAUGCACUGGAUUGAUGAUGACUUCCUCUCUGUGAUGUCAUGCACUGGAUUGAUGAUGACUUCCUCUCUGUGAUGUCAUGCACUGGAUUGAUGAUGACUUCCUGUCUGGCUGGACUGAGUAUUGCUCUGUUUGGAUCCGUGCGUUAGUAACUGGGAGUUAGUUUGUGCUUUUGUCUCAUCUGACAACUUUAGCUUUCCGUUAUAAAUAUCACAGUCUUUAUUAUUAUUAUGUAAUCAGAAUGUUGUUAAGGCUUUUACAGCAGUAUCAGUGAAGAAUCAGUGUUACCAUAGAGAUUGUGGAGUCCCAGUAAAGAAUAAGUGUUACCAUGGAGAUUGUGGAGUCUCAGUGAAGAAUCAGUGUUACCAUAGAGAUUGUGGAGUCUCAGUGAAGAAUACGUGUUACCAUGGAGAUUGUGGAGUCUCAGUGAAGAAUACAUGUUACCAUGGAGAUUGUGGAGUCCCAGUAAAGAAUAAGUGUUACCAUGGAGAUUGUGGAGUCUCAGUGAAGAAUGAGUGUUACCAUAGAGAUUGUGGAGUCUCAGUGAAGAAUCAGUGUUACCAUAGAGAUUGUGGAGUCUCAGUGAAGAAUCAGUGUUACCAUAGAGAUUGUGUUUCUGGUCUACGCUGCCUCUGUGCUGCUAAUGACUUGAGAGUAAAGAUGGAAUCUGAUUUAGUCUCAAUAAAGAUUUAUGAUUUAUGUUCAUCUUAAUAUAUAUCGAUAUGAUAAAGAUGGAAACUGAUUUGCAUUAGUCAUGAUGAAUAUGGAAUCUGAUUUACGUUAGCCGUGAUAAAGAUUGGAUCUGAUUGUCGUUAGUCUUCAUAAAGAGAAUGAUUUCUCUUAGUCGUGUAGUCUUAUCUUGGCACGAUUGGACAGAACAAGUAAAGUCGUCAGCAAUAGGAGAAAGCAGAGAGAGUGAUGAGUGACUCACUGGAUUGCCACACACACACACACACACACACACACACACACACACACUGAUCUGAAUGAAAAUGAUUCUGCCAAAUGACCUCAAAGGAUUCCCUGGACUAACUCUGAAAUGGGUGUGUUAUUUCAGUGGAAGACACACAGAAUGGAGGUGUAGAGACACACUCCGGAUAUGAGCACAGCGAGAGGGAUGUGAGUAUAGCAUGUGAGACACACUCCGGAUGUGAGCGCAGCGAGGGGCAUGUGAGACACACUCCGGAUGUGAGCGCAGCGAGGGGCAUGUGAGACACACUCCGGAUGUGAGCACAGCGAGAGGCAUGUGAGUAUAGCAGUGAUGAGCCGUCUCUCACAGAUGGCGCUUUUCUAAAACUCCACCACGAUUCCUCCCUCUCGCCUGACUUCUGUUCUGUCGUGUGUGUGUGUGUGUGUGUGUGUGUGUGUGUGCGUGUGUGUGCGUGUGUGUGUGUGUGCUCCUCAACUCUGUUCUCAGACGCUUCCUGGAGACUCCUAAUGAGAGCGCUAAUUCCAGACAUACGGUUUCCAUGGCGACAGAUGAUAUUUACACACACUUGUGCAUGCCGCACCUGAAGCGAAGAGAGUGUGUGAGAUGCAUCACAGGAGCGUGAUUAUUAUAAUGCCCCUUCGACACCACAGACACUUCCAUGGACAGUAUAAUUCAUUUUCCUCAAGCAGAACAGAAAAUGCAAAGUGGAAAGCCCAAACUUUCAAUUGCAGAGAACAUUCCAGACUUUCUCCUGGGCAGCGCCCGACUCUGGCCAUAGAAGUGUGACAGACAUCCUCGUGUUCGCCUGAUCUCCAAACAAUGAUUAAUAUCCUUUUCAUCCUUGAAUGACGCCGUGAAAUAUACAGCAUUCAGAUAACAAUGGCACAAGAUGAGAAGUAAAUAAUAAACAGCUUUGUGUUAGUGCAAUCAGUGUGUGUGUGUGUGUGUGUGUGUAUAUAUGUGUGUGUGUGUAUAUGUGUGUGUGUGUGUAUGUGUGUGUGUGUAUGUGUGUGUGUGUGUGUGUGUUCAGUGCAAUCAGUGAGUGUGCACACAACAUACAGGGCUGGGGGUUCAAUGACCAGUAGUGGCAUUUCUAAAGCAGCAGGCCACCUGAUGCUGUCCUGGACUGACCUGAAGGCCUAGGGUUGGGGCUUGGGCUUAGGGCGAGGGUUGGGGCUAGGGUUAGGGCUUGGGUUAGGGCUUGGGUUAGGGCUUGGGCUAGGGUUAGGGCUUGGGUUAGGGCUUGGGCUAGGGCUAGGGUUAGGGCUUGGGCUAGGGUUAGGGCUUGGGUUAGGGCUUGGGUUGGGGCCUGGGGCGAGGGUUGGGGCUUGGGGCGAGGGUUAGGGCUUGGGGCUUGGGUUAGGGCUUGGGCUAGGGUUGGGGCUUGGGCUUGGGCUUGGGCUAGGGCCCUAUCAGGACCUUUAGUAUGGAAAUGUGAAAUAUCUUUGCCUCUGAGUCCAGCUUCUGCAGUCUGAUGUGUCCAGAGAGGCUUUGUGAAGUUCAGUGUGUGACCGCUCCAUGUGCACAUGACACAGCACCCCCCCCCCUGGGUUAUUUAAUGGUUCAGCCCCCCCCGUCCUUUUCUCCUUCCGCGUGUCGGGUCUCUUGAAGGGUUUAGGGAUAUUACUAAGCGUCUGGGAGCAGCCGAAGCCCAUUUGAAGCAUGGUGAGAACAAAUUAGAAAACCUCUGAAAUCCCCAGAGCCUUCGUAGUAAAAAAACUGAAUUUUAGAUAACACCAUUUUAAAAAUCAGCCUUGGAGAGGAGCGUCAAACUGGAGCACUAAAUGAGAUUAACAGUCCAACGACUUCAUAGCGAUGCUUUGAUAAGAGUUCGAAGUGACCUCUUUUAUAGAAAAAUAGAGAAGACAAUUUCACUUCAAAAUGGGAUCUAUGAACAAUGGACUGAAAUCAAAACUUUGGGUAAAGUAGUUUUUCAUCAAUUUUCAUAUUUUUCUAUCUAGAACGCAGUAGUGCUUGUUGAUAUAAAUAUUUUUGGACUUUUGCAACACAUUUCUUCAACUAUUUCAAAACAUAUUCAAAUAUUAGUUUGUUCUAACGUCACAUGUUGGCUGCCUCGAAAAGUGGACAGUGGGCUAGGGACGGGACGGGAGUGUGUCACCAGUGCGAGCGCGUGUCCCUCCACACACUCCACACACUCCGUGUCACCAGUGCGAGCGCGUGUCCCUUCGCACACACUCCACACACUCCGUGUCACCAGUGCUAGCGCUUGUCCCUGCGCACACACACACACUCCGCUGGGUAGGUAUGUACAAGCUGCGGGCGGCACAAAGUGGUGUGAUUGGCACAUCAGUCAGUCCCUCCGGUGGGCUGCCGUCUCCCCUGCGCACACUGACACAUACAGUACACUUAUAUAUCAUAUGGAUAUGGAUAUAUAUAUUUAUAUUUAUAUAUAUAUAUAUAUAUAUAUAUUUGUCAACUCUAAGGAUUCUCUAAAUUGCCGUAGGUCUAUGGAAAAUAAUUAGGAGUGGCAUCCGUAGCUCUGCAUUACUUUGCAAUUCUUUUAGAAAAAUAAAUCUGUUUGCUCGAGUCCAGAGAGAGCCCCGUCCAGGAGAAAUCUCUUCUUUUUCUUUUCUUUCAUUUUCUCCUUGUGUUGUUUCUGCUCCGGUAAUUGGUUUUCACGCAGUGUAAAAGUUUUCCAAAUGGAUCCUGAGGG